This 13131-nucleotide long non-coding RNA is filed under the name Xyrichtys novacula (pearly razorfish). The record is from RNAcentral. Lineage: Eukaryota; Metazoa; Chordata; Actinopteri; Labriformes; Labridae.
UUUCCUGCUUUGUCUAUUUUACAGCGCAUGAUGAGCCAGAUUGCGGUGUAUAAGUUUGGUGAAGAGUUUGACUCAGUCCCUGUCACCUUUCAUCACCACAAACACCUGCAAAGUCCUUUAAAUACCUGUUGUGGAUCUAAACCCCUCAUUCACUUUCCCUCCACAGCUUUUCCUUCUACUGACACUAGAUAAGUGCAUGUUUGUGAGCAGCAUGCACUCAUGCAAUCGUGCAUACAAACACACAAAGACCCCCCUGCACACAUACACACACUGUUCCCUCCUGUAGGUAAAGCUUCAUAUGAAUAUUGUGUUUAUGGCCGGCAGGGUGGAAAGCGAGCUUUUCCCUUUGGGAGCUCUGCCAGUUUUCUUUUCAUUACUCUACCUGGGGGCUGAACCCCCACUAUCACAAUAAGCUUUAUUUCUAUCGACAUAUCCAGACGGAAGCGGCAUUCCAGGGAAUUAGGCUCAAUUUCACCUGGCCCCCAGUGUUUUUAGGGAAUACCAUGCUCCCACAACUGCCCCUCCUCCUGCCUCCAUUUAUUUUCUAAAAGCAACAAGCUGCAAACUUCACAUUUUAUCUCACAGAGUUCUUUCCUUAAACUGAAAAAAUUAGUUCCAUGUGUUCGCUUUUCAGACAAGCUUCAUAGGGGUGGUUAUUUUUCAGUCAACUAAACACUUAAGUUACACUCUUUUUGAUUUCCAUCUGAACUUGUCAAAAGGAACAUGUCAAAGGCUGCUUUAUCAGAUAAUCAGCAACACCUGCUUGGAUAUAUGGAUCAGGUGCUGUGGUAUAGCACAGCAAGGACUCCCACAUGGUGCAGGGAACUGGAAAUAUUCUAGCUACAACAGUUAGCUAACUUACAGGAGUACUUAAGCCUUGUAUCUCUUCAAAAAACACUGGCAUAUUAAUCGAUCAUUAUAGUAUACACUUACAAAUGUCACAAAAAACACUUAAAUGAUUAUCAACCCCCAUAAGCCACAAAUGCCCUCUUUUUUGUCACUUUGGUUUACAUUCAAUGUGAAAUUAUGGUACAGUGACCAUAUUCUGAAUCCCCAAAAAGAGGACACUACUCUGCAGGGCGGAGUCGUGUGCGUGCACAAAUUUUUGAGGUUUUUUUCGGGUCAGGUCAUGUUUUUUUCACACCCUUCUAACUCAGCUAAACAAAUAUUCUGAAUUCCCCAAAAAUAAAAAAAAAUAAAAAAAAAUAAAACAUUUUAUCCCACCUUGUUUUUUUUUACUGGGGGAAACAGGCUUCCAUACAAAACCCCAGACAUCUAAGGAUUUUAUAAACUCCCCUCCACGGACAUGUCGAACAGCCCCUCAAAAGAGGACAUGUCUGGGUAAAAGAGGAUGUAUGGUCACCCUUAAUUAUGGUAAAGGCUACAGCCAACCACAGCUUUACUUUUCAUUAUCUUAAAACAACCAACACCGAGCAGAUGUUUCCAAGGGGAACUCAAUCUGCCCUGGUGUGAUGUAAAUAUUUUGUAGCAGCCACCAGCAUGCGCACCAGCAGGCCACACUUCAAGUUGAAGUUCCUGAAUGAACGACUCAAGACAAUAACAGUACAAUUGGGACAUACUGUAUCACAAAAAAAUCCUUCUGGUAUUGCAACCAGGUGUCUCAACUCUACAGAUGAAGAACCCAACUUUCCAGGUGGUGUUUGCACUGUAUUUCCCUUUUAGUGUGACUUUUGCACAUUGCGAAAAGUACAGAACAUGAGGUAUCAAUGUGUCUCUAAAUGGGUCAUGCACAGAGCACACAUAUUUAACAUGGACUCAUCACACACAAGCACUUAAAUAUGAAAGCCUGUCUGUUUUUCAUCCCUCUCUUUCACUGUAAUUUAUUCAUUCCUGCCCCAAGAAACUUAAGUCUUAAAUGAAACAGGUCUUUUACCCAAUUGGAUCAAACUGGGAAAAUAAACCACAUUUAAUAUUAAUUUGAAAGGCAAAGUUACAUUUUUCUCCAUUAUUAUCAGGUGACUGUGUUGUUUUAUGGUGGUUGCUUUGUAAUUCUAGUCGUGACCAUGUCAGCAUGUCUGGUAUGAGAGGUUGUAGAUGUAACACUACCAUUAGUGGAAAAGGUUAAACCACUGGCUGUGGAAAAUGUGUCUGCAGCUUCUGGGUCAAACCACAAGCAUCAAGUCCUUUUCCUUACGGCUAAUCCUGAAAAAUACAUCCAAGUUGAACUUUCAGUGUCUAUGUAACCCGUCAUGAUAUUAUCUCAUUUUUCAUUGUUAAGAUGUUUCAUCAGAGACGGUUGAUGAAAACUUGUGAAGAUUUUUUUUUCUGCCAACAAGAGUGUCCCGGUCUCUGCCUAUUACUGUUUUCACAUUCAUGCUUUGAGGUCAGUAAGUUUGGUUUGGGGGUUGACCUUGGGUGGUAGUGCUUGUAUACAGAGCACCCCACCUGUAAUUAUCUGGGGAUUACCUCUUUAUAUGAGCAAGCUUUACAACGUCCAAAGGGACUUCCUGCUUCCCCCUCAAAAUCUUGCAAUAAAAAGGCACCACUGUAGCAUCACAACGGGGCACCAGCCAAUCAAUAUCCUCCCGUAGAAUCCAAUGUUCACCAAGUGGGAUAGCCUUUCAUUUCAUAUGGACUAGGAGCAUAUAUCUGAAUCCCCGAGAAAGAAAAAAAGAGUAAUGAGCAGUGUAAAAUGAAUUUUGAAUAUUUAAAGUACCUGCUCUAAUUUGAUAUGCUCACUUAAAACCAAACACAGAAUAACUUUUGCUUUUAGUGACACGAGUCCAAUCACUGAAUGCCUGAGGGAUGCUUUCCAGCUCAUACCUUAUAGAUGAAGCCCCCCCAAUCCCACCAUUUGUUGAUGGGAAUGAGGAAAAGGAAAGAACUGUAAAAUCAGGCAGGAAUUCUGUUUAUGGGGCGCCAGAACACAGCUGCUUGUUUGAGCUGGCAAGGGAAGUUGGUGUCACAGGCAAAGCUGCGAUUUGCUGAACCCAAAGUAGGAAUUGCCAGAUGGUAAGGUGUCUUAAGCACAUACUGUAUGAAUAUAAACUGACAUAUUAAUAAAAGAGUCCAGCUCAAUACAGGUGCAUCAACUUUCUAAGUAUUACAGAGAAACACACACAGAUACACACCUCUGUAUUGUACCAGCCAUGUUUAUUGCUUCUGGACCGUGCCUUUAAAGCCUGUAGCACUGCUGUCGCACGCAAUGUGCCGACUGAAAGCUCCCAAAGUCACAGAGAGAAGAGGACAGCCAAAGUAGGAGGGAGCGACAGCGGGAGCAUGCAAAGGAUUUAGACAUGGCAUGAAAAAAGUCCAUUAAGUGACUCGUCUAGCUUUGCCAAACACGGUCACACCCAACUCAAAGGAUCAACUAAGUUUAACCACCUUUCCGCUGCCAACAAUGAAAAAAAUGAAUUCAAAGGUUUAGAAUUGAAAUCUUCAUUGAAGAGAACAACUGGAGACAAUUUAAAAGAACAUUUUGUCGAAACUAUGUACUGCUUUGGUCAAAGCUCACAGCUUGUAGUUCAGAACAUGAAGUACUAAAACAAAGCCAAUCUGAGCAGGUGGCUUAAAGAGAGAAAAAGUAAUGAAACAAACAUCCAGACAAGCCUAACAAACCCCAGACUAUACUAAAUGUUGUUUGCCUCGAUCUAGGUUAUUUUUGGAGGGUUUUCCUGGCCCAUAUAAGCAGGCUCAGUUGAGAGUAUGUAAAGCACAGAAACGGGUCUAGUUGAGUGUACUUAUUGAGGUGCAACCCCUUGUCUCUAAGUCCCUUUACUGUCUGAAAGCCAUUAUUCUGUUAUUAUAUGUCACCUCUGACAGGUUAGAGGACUUCAACUGCAUGGGCAAACUAAGUGGAGAACCAUUACGUAGGGUGACCAUACGUCCUCUUUUACCCCAACAUGUCCUCUUUUUGGGGGGCUCUCUGGGCUGUCCGGCUUUGUUCGGGGAAGUUUAUGAAAUACUUCAACUGUCUGGAGUUUUGUAUGGAAGUUUCGAGUUUGUGUCACAUGGACUUACUGAGUAAAGUGCAUAGAAGACACUUGAUCUGACCCCAAAAACUCUCAAAAUUAACUUUGUGUGACUCUGCGACUCCGCCCCCGCGUAGCCGUUUCCUCUUUUUGGGAAGUCAGAAUAUGGUCCCCCUACCACUAAGCAUUAGUCUCAAUGUGAUAGUCACUGGGAGGCAAUCUGGCUAAUUUAAGAAUUGUGCAUCAAUCCCUCCUUCAUCUGCUCAGUCUCGAGGUCCAUUUCACAAAGCAUAUUGCAUACUGAUGAUACUUAAGCAUAAACACACCAUUCAAGUUUUGCAGCUCUGUGCAGUUUGCUCCUGUUUUGCAUCUGAUUGUUUGGCCAAGUCCAUGAGGUAGGGGGCCUGGGUUCAAUUUUACCUUGUGACCCUUCACUAUGUCAUUCCCCACCCUUUCUCCAAGUUUCCGUCUUUGUCCACUGUUCGCUCUUUCAAAAUACUAAAAGAUGUCAGACAUUUUUGUAGUUCUUUUUAUUUUUGCUACUUGAAAAAGGUGAGGGAGUCAUUGAGGAUUCCCGCAAAUGAGACAACAGAGAAAGAGCUGCAAAAAAAACCCAAAGCUGAGCAGAAGCAGAGGCAGCUUGAUGAGACUGUUGGAAUAAAAUAUACUGGACUUUGAAGAGGCACUCUAGAAAAGUUGAAUAAAUGUAAAAACACCACAUUAACUGAAAAUAGAAACUUGUCUCUCACUCAUGAAGCACUUUCUGUCACUGUUCUCCCAAAUCUUUGCUUCACUCAAAAAGCAAAAGAAGUUAAUUUAUGUCUGAGAUGUGUUCACGGUCUAUAAAUACAACAUAUGACACAAAUUUGUUCUGCAGUGAUCAAACAAAGUGAUGAGUGGAGCAUUGUGGCUUUUUCAAAUUAUAAAUCAUAGAGAAAUAUUACGCUCACCUGUACAGGGCCCCGUAUCCUUAUUCUGUCUUUGGCACUUGGCAAGAUGCGUUCCCCCCCAAUAAUUACCACCAGAUGCAAAGCAGGGGGUCAAGAGGGGUCCCUACCUCUUAUGAAAGGGUUUAUUAAAAAUAAUGCAGGGUAAGGGGCAGAAUCAUACCUCAUCAUUCUUAUUUUUUCUUUGGCAGCACAUGCAGUCGUAGCAGGUGCUGACAUUCCUCCCCUCUAUUCCAGCCCUCUUCCACUUUUUUCUCGGACUAUUCUCGCAUUCGAACCCCUUUCUUCUCUUUUUAUUGUUCUCUUUUUAAUUUGCAGAUAUAAAAAUUGGCAAAUGCUGUCCUUUGAUGGGGAGAGACAUUCCUGGCGUCUCUCAGAUGUCUGUGCUGCUUUGCGGUAACCCAACUCCGGUUGAAAGCAUUUUCCUGGGAAAAAGAGGCGGCCCACAAUCGACGGGGCACAGGGACACCUGCAGCUCUGGCCCAGCGGUAACUACAGAUCAGCUCUGGACAUGACUCAACACCAACCUGAACACGCACACACACACUAGCAUUCACACACUCAAAAAAAGGACUUCAGACCUCUCCUUCGAUCCACACACUCACAGUGGACUCCACUCUGUGACUUCCCCCACCUUUCCAGCUGCGUCUCAGGUUCAUUCAGUGAUGUCCAGACUGAUGAGAGUAAAAACAGCCAAAAAUGAGGACAGCUGCUUCCAUAAACCCUGUCAUCAAUUUGUCCAAGUCAUUAAAAUUGGCUGUAAUUGGCCUAAUUGUGGUCAAUCAUGCUUUCCAAUGAUGCAGAAAAGUAUAGGGUAUCUCUUUACCAGGAGAGUGGAUGAUUAAGUUGUAGCAGGCCGCUCUGUUUCGGAACAAUGAUUGCUAAGUAUGAUCUUUGUCUGAUCCUCACCACAAAUGACCUGUUUGAUCAAACAGAGAAUAAAUGAUGCAGAGAGGGAAAACAGGUUGAAACAGUAUGAGGAUGCCCGUCUGAAUGUCGACUGCAACUUUUGCAAUUCCUCCUGAGCAAUGUCCUAUUUUAUUAAAAAAGACCAUCAUCAUAGUGCUGGGCUCAGUUUUAAGUCAAUAGAUCAUUUGAUCAGUCACAGCACCUCAUGACAGGAGCAGGAUUAUAUUCUUAGACCUGCUUGGUGGUGAGGGUCUGCUGAGACAAAACAGUUUCAGGUACUGUGAAACUCAAUUCCUCCAGCGGGGCCAUCAACUGUCACUCUAGGCGGAGAGAUGAUUGACUCCCAGAAUACCUCUUUCUUCAAACAUUGUAUUUCUUAUGCACACAAACAUGGACACAUCAACGCGUGAAGAGAAUGUGACGGGCAGCCGUGAGUGACAGCCAAGCAUGCCUGAAAGCUUGAAGGUUGGGUGAGGAGGGGGACGGGCAGAGGGUGUGAGUUUCCAAGGAGGUGUGCUGGGGCAGCUCAGGUCGACUGGGACACAUGGCUGCACUGGGAGGAAUUUGUAUUAAAUUCAACCCUCCCCUUCACAAAUUGUUUCCAGCCUGCAGCCAUCAAAACGCUGUCAGAUCACUGACUCUCUCUUCCCUUUUCUCUGGCUCGUCUCCCCCUCUUAUUCCCCCAUCACCCACACACACACAACCCCCUAUACCCACUCCACUUUGGGUCUUCACUUACACAAACAUCAGAGGUAGAAAGAGGUGCAUGGGCAGUCAUGCGGUGUGACGAUGUAGUGUGUGUAUGCCUAUAUUGUACGUGUGUGUGUGUGUGUGUGUGUGUGUGUGUGUGUGUGUGUGUGUGUGUGUGUGUGUGUGUGUGUGUGUGUGUGUGCAGCUUUGCUCUUGAGCCAUCAGGAAAGGUCUAACCCCUAAAAUGUAGUGCUUAGAAUAAUUUAGGUGCAACCGACAGUAUGUCUCGUGAUUUCAUGCAUGCUUGGCAGCGGUGAUCAAUCUCUUUGAAGUGGUUGCCUGUCUCAUUUGUCAACCAAAUAAAUGGUCAAUUUCACUGAGUUGUUUGACAUCAGCUUAACUGAUUGUGGAAAAUAAGUUUUCAUGCCAUGUUGAGUGCCUUCAUUUCUCUUCUGGAGAGUUAACUGUCCUUCCGGGUUGAACUGUACAAACUGAAGUUUUCAUACCAAAGGCUCACACCAAUCACUCGUAAUACAAUGAUCACCUAUCUGAUAUUGUGAAAGUCCUCUUCAUGCCAAGCCAGAACCAAAACAGUCCUGACCUUACAAGAGGUCAGAAGAGACAUGGACUCAACUAGAUCUCUGAACGAGUUCUGUGGUAACUAGGACCAGGACUGAAGAAGCAGGUCCUUUCAGUCCUGUUAGUUGCAAAGUGAGGCUUCCAUGGGUUGGAUUUAUUUGUCCAACAUGUCCCACAGAUUGGAUGGAAAUCUGGGGAAUUUAGAGGUCAUGUCAACCCUAGCCACCUAAAUGGCUGAAUGUCAUCACCCUCAUUUAACAGCACUUUAUACCAGUUAUGCAAGUUAUAAAUAUCUUUGUGAUCAAAGGCCUGAAAUGUCAGUCAAAGAUAGAGUCUUAGCUUUAGCCUAGACAGACACACUCCAGGGCUAGAUGUUCAGUUAAUAGUGACUUUGAGUCUAAUCCAGUAGCUCUUUCCACCCCUAGGCAAACCUUUGCUCCCUAUGCACAUCAAUAAGCCUUUGUCAUUGAUCGCCUUGUUGCUAAUCCACCAGUUCUUCUUCUUUGGACCACUUUUAGUAUUGACCAUCUGGGAACAUCCUGCAAGAGCUGCAGGUUUGGAGAUGCUGAACCCAGCCCCCUCCAUCCUUACUCUUGCUCCCUUUUCCUGCUUCCACCUAGGGGUGUCCUGAUACGAUAAUGAUAUUGGAUAUCGGUGCGAUAUCAGCAAAAAAAUCGAAAAUCAGAUUAUAUCGGCUUCCAUCUAAAAUCACCGAUGUCAGCACUUCAAUACAGGCAGUUCCAUUCCAGAUUCCACUCCGGCACCUCUAUCUAACAGCACCCGGAUCCAGCAUGUAGAGCCCAUGGGAUCACAACAAAAGUGUGUACCAAAGUACCAAGGAGUAGUAAUGAAUUUGGCUGUGUGGCAGUAUUUUUCAUCAAAGUCUGAAAAAGACGUUGCAGCUGAGUGCAAAACUUGUUUUUUGUGCUAAUAUCAGAUCAAUAUCGGUAUCGGUUGAAGGCUACAAUAUCGGUAUAGUAUCAGAGGUAAAAAAUCUGUAUUGGGACACCCCUACUUCCAUCACUUCAACACAUCUAACCCACUGGCAGGUACCAUAGUAAAGAGCAUGUUAUUCACAUCACCUGUCAAUGGCCAUAAUGUUGUGGCGGAUUAGUGUAAAGCACAUUUAGGAAAGCUCAAAAAAAGUUUUUAACAUCUGCCGUCUACUAACAACAUUGGUGAAAUUGGUGGUUAACCCACAAAAGUUUAGACCUUAAAAUCAAAACAUCCAGCUGAAAGUGGUCAACAUAGACGAUUUAUUCUCGAACACAGCUGACCCACAUAUCACAUGAUUAUCACAUUUAUCGACACCAUACUUAACGUAUCUAAUGUCUGUCUGCAGGAAGCAAAUCUGAGGAAGUUUCCCCCAUGGUUCUGGUCUAGGUUAUGGUCCUGGGUCUCAGCUGUGAGCAGUUUGAUGGUUGGUUGAGUUCAGACAGCAAAAACAACCUCUCCGUUGCUUCUCAGGGGCCAAAGGUACAAGGCUGCAACAGUCAAUGGAAGGAGAGAGAGUGAGAGUGCUCCCAUUCACCGAUCUGGGAUGUGGAGAUACUGUGAGAGGUUAUUCAGGGCGAUGGGCCACGCCUGACUGGGGGGCCCCGUCAAGAAGGUGGAGGUCAAUUAGAAGCAAAUGUCCUCCAUCAUGAUCGGUCCAUUGUAGUACGACACUCAUGUUUUGUUAUGAGCAAGAGGACUUGAUCUGACCCUGGCUGUAUCACUCUCACUUUAUAUCACUCUCAAUAACCAUCAUCCUGGUAAAAGAGGCCAUAAAAUUGUGAAAAGCACCUAUUGUCUCAUUGCCCUCGCAGAGUUGCCAUAGACACGGUAAUGCAAUAUCAUUGUUGAUUCUGGGAUACAGAGUUUAAAUCAACCUCUGACCUGUAGAUACUUUUGCUUUCCAAUAGCGUGAGGAUGGUGUGGGACUACCUUUUCCGGCUGUCAAAACUGAAACCACCUUCAAAUAUGGACAGAUAUUUUCUUUUCCCUGAGACGUGGAAACAUCCAGUAAACUGCAGUCUAAGACUCCAAGCAGUGGAUGAAGUAAGUUUUAAGAGGUGGGCCGGUCAAUAAAGACAAUUUCUUUUCAGCCACCUCUUCUUUUAUCACGCUAAAGCUCUCAGCACCAAGACUGCGUCUCCUUCACACUCGGACACAACAAUGCUAAAAAAAAAAAAAAAAUUUUGGAAAGGCAGUUACUUAUCCACUGGCCCACACACACCCACGCACAUAGAGGAAAAGAUCUGGUUCAGAUCUGAACUUUUUAAUUCUCUGGAGAGUUAUAAAAACAUCCAGUUUGUUUCCUCUACCCCUCGUGGUUUCAGAUGCAGCACUAACCAUCAAUGCAUCUCUGAGGAAAGGAGAUGGUUUUGGCAUGGCUCUCUCUAAAGGGUCUAUUAUGAGAGGUACAUCCUGCGGUGACACAGUUGUGGUGCCCCCAUAGGAAAAAACUUCAAGGUUCUCAGAGUAAAAUGGAUGACAGGUACAAAGAUAGCUGAUGUGUUCAGGAGACAUAAAGAGGGAAAAGUGGAAUACAAGACCUCAUCAAAAAGGUGAGACGAUGUAGAAAAGAUGUUGGCAAGGGAUAUAAGAAAUACAAAAAGAAAAUAAAAAUACACUGUGAAGGAAAGAAAGAAAGACAGCUGUCAAAGAAGCAGGAAUGGGAGCUGAUGGGAUGGAUGAAGAGACACAAGAGAGGAUUUCAGGGGAGAAAGAGAUGCAGAUCCUGUGAAAGAGUCUGUCCGCAUACAGUGGAUUAAAACCACAUGUGUCUGCCUGAGGUGAGGACACCGCAACGCUGCGCACAUAUGUGAGGAAGAAUGGCGUCACUUGCACUCACCAGGGGCACCGCACGCUCGUUUUCCAGAAUGCGCUUCUCCUGCCAACUUUCUCCUGCCUGCAAAAACUUUUAACGUGUCAUCUCUACUGCGUCUUUCAUCUCUUUCCUUCUGCUAAACAAAUAAAUAAGUGCACUUUUCGUCCUCAUACACGGACGGAUUACGGGAGAAUACUUUGGCAAGCGUUGCCAUGACAAGAAGCUCCUUUAAGAAACAUAUGCAGUCGGAGAAGUCAUGGGAAGAGGGCAAAGAUGGAAACUGUUGUUGGACUCCUCUAAUACCCGAUACACAAAGAAGACAUCAUUCCUUCAAAUCAUAAUAACACUGUAUUUUUUCUAGAUUUGAAAGAAAUUAUUUUGUUUUUAACAAAUUUAUUUAAAUCAAUCUGCAGAAGAAAUUGCUCGAUUUUUGUCUCAAGUUGUUCCAGUAAAAAAAAGCAUUUUGCAUGAAUUAUAUCCAGCUACCAAAUGCAGAUAAAUUUCAUAAUCACACUUUUAAUGCAUACUCUUCAGAGAAAAGGUAUUUAGGACAAAUGGAAGGGAUACAGAAAGACAAGAGGAGCGGGGUAGUUGGGGCGGGAAAAGGGGCGAGACGGCCAUGAUAUGGGAAAGUGUUUUGGGGAAACCAAAUUAAGGGGAAGAAAGGCCGGACACAAAGGCCUUUGAAAGCGGCAGACAGUUCCCUUGACAUGUGCCUUAAAAGAGAUGCUGCCGCCGAUGCCAAGAAAAGGGGGGAAAGGACAGAGGGGAGAGAGAGAGAGAGAGAGAAUGACGACAGACUGAGAGAGGAAAGGAAGGAGAGAUCAAGGGGGAGAUUGAGUAAAAAUACAAGGGUAAUGGGAAGUGAGGGCAGGAAACGCAGGACAAAGCUCAGAGAGGGAAGUAAAGAGAAGCAAGUUCAUGAGAGGUGUGAUGAGAGAGAAUGAAGACAUCAGUUCAGGUCUGUGAUGUGUGGUGUGUGCAGGCAUGUACGCGUGUAUGUGCAACUGUUCUUAUGAAAGUGUGUGCAGGUUGGGGGUUGGGGGGAUUUGAAGAAGGAAAAAGCUAGAAUUUAAAUGACUCUUAAAUGGCUCGUAACCUCAAAUCGAUUCCCCGAGGUCUCACUACUUUUUUCAGUGAAUGGAAAUCACUGCUCACCCUCUGCAUAUGUUUUAUAUUAAUGUCAACAUACACUGAUGAGACUGUUCAGGGGAUAACACUGAAGUGGUCUUACCAGUCUCUGCAAAGUUUUAUUAGUGGGUUUUUUCCCCAAUAAAUUUAUCACCAAUAGUGAUGCACUGAUGAGCAAAUCUGGGCUAAUAUCAAUCCCAAUAUUCAGCUGAUAUCUGAUCAACACUUUUUUCUUUUAUUGUUGUCCACUCACAUUCUUUUUACCAAUCCAGACAAAGACCUGAAUAAGUCUCUAUUAUAAAACACACAUGAACAUGCCCAGUAAGUCUGACUUUCAUUACACUAUUUUUUAGUGAGCACAAACGUAAAAGUGCAAAUGUACAAAUCCUCAGAUUUUACCGUCUACCAUAAAGGCCUCUUGAAAAGCUUUUGGAAGCUUAUCUUUGAAGUUCUUUUCCUGCUUCCUUAUUUUAUUGUGGCAGAUUUGUUGGACUGGGGCUUUCCGAUGCAUAAAAAUCAAAUCAAAGUCAAACUUGAAAAAACCCCAAAAUCAAACAGGAGUGCUUCAAAAGCCUUUUCAUAGAAAAUCACUUACUCAAUAAGGAGCAAUUUUAAGUUCUUAAACAGCCCAGCUAAUCCUUUUCCGACAACAUAAAGUCAAAUUCAAAAUGAACUGAAUGCAACUGUGAGUGAGAAAGUAGUAAAAAAUGAGCUCAAUCAUAAAUAAUAAACAUUCAGAUGAAUAAAUAAGGAUUUGGUUCAUUCCUCACCAGAAUUACUAGUAGGUAUCUAAUCAAAUUAAUAAGAUCUUUAUAACUGCAGGUCCAAAUUGCUGUUGGAGGUAGCUGUAGCACAACUACCUGAGACUAGCAGAGCCAUAAUGUUCACACAGUCUACUACCUGAAUGGGAAACUAGCACCGUUGAUAGUUGGCAUCUCAUAAAACAACCAAAGUCGAAAUUAUUUACAGAUACUUUCAGUUGUCAGUACUACUAACCAUUUAGUGAUAUUUUAUCUCCAUUAAAAGGAUGAUGACACUUGAACUUAUUCCAAAUGUGUUUGGGUUUACUUUUUUUUUCUUUUUGUUACAUAAUUACAUAAGUGACAGUAAUGUCUGAAUCUGAUUGAAAUCCUUAAAUCCAUAAAACUAACAAACAGCACUCACUUUUUGUGGCACUGUCUGCUGCUGAUGUCAACAGUAAAAUAGCAUCACGCUUUUUCUCAUGCAGAUGCAGCCUCUUUGAUGCUGGUCAGCCCAUCUCUUUUCUGUCUCUCCCUCUCUCUACUUCUACUAUUGUAUGCCCCUCAGAAAUCACAUUGGACCCUCUUGCUCUCCCCCUCUUCCUUCUACACACACACACACACAAUCCCUUUCUUGAGGCUGUGUCUGACUCCAGCAUGAAAUCAAUUUCGGACACCCUCCCACCACCUUUCUCCAGCGCCCAUUUUCCUUCACCGUGAAGCGAGACUGUUUUCUGUGCCAGCUUGGAAAUAAGUACACCCAUCCUCCCCAACGAAGUGCCUCCAUCCCUGUUCCUGUCCCAGAAUCCCCCAGUGCUGUGCCUGCUGCUGUAACCAGUGUUUCUCAGUUCCUAACCCCUCAUCUGUGCCAUAUAUCCAAAAUUGUGGUCCAAUGCAGCAUUUAUUUGACAGCAUCUUUUGAUUAUGAAAAAAGUGAACGCUCAGAGAGGGAGACCACACACUGUGGGACAGUUAAGCUGUGUUUCUUUUCUACCCUGUGCAUGCUGUUUUACUGGGUAGCACCUGUAUAAAUUCAAAGAUGUACUUGGCUAUAUCAUAAAAAGCUUGCCUUUGAUCAUCAAAAUUCACUAGCAAGGCUAAAUAGGAGCCCAUUAAAGCUUCACAUUAAAAAAAUGAAGCUUAACAACAGUUUGGCAACCUGAAAGCAACAUGAAAAGGUUUAAAAUCCCAAAAUUGGUAUGAAGUGACAAACAGUGAGUCAGUUGACAGAGGGGUGGACAUGCAGAGGUGAGGCGGCACUGCUUUUAUCGUUGUUAUUCCCCUGCCGGCGCACACCGCUCCUUCCUAAUCCACACUGACAGAGUUUUCAUCAUCUGAGGAGCUGGGGACGACGGAGGACUUGAGGGAAUCUGGUGAGGUGGGGGACUUCC